UAUGCGCGUCAAUUUAUUUAUUUGGAUUAUGGAAUUCUUUUGAGAGAUCUUCUUUGUACUCCGUCUUUUCGACAUUAAUAAAUUAUUUGCUCCGUCUUCGUCCGUGGACGUAGGCCGUUGGCCGAACCACGUAAAUAUCGGUGUGUUCUUCGCUUAUCUUUUCUUUUCUUGCAUUAAAUUAUUUUCUGGAUCUAUUUUUCGCCGUUCCGAUUUUAACAAACUGGUAUCAGAGCCUUUCUAUUCCCUUUGAGGAUUAAGAUGACGACGAAGUUCGAGAUUCAGAAAUUUGACAGGACCAACAGUUUCGCAUUAUGGCAAGUCAAGAUGCGUGCAGUAUUGACGCAGCAAGGAUUGCAGAAGGCACUGUUGGGAAAAGAAAAGAUGUCCGAUUCGUUAACAACAGAGCAAAAGGAGGAGAUUGAUGAUAAAGCUCUUAUGGCAAUACAAUUAUAUUUAUCUGAUGAGGUAUUGCGCGAGGUCUUGGAUGAAAAGACCGCAGCAGGACUUUGGCUUAAAUUGGAGUCUCUCUAUAUGACGAAAUCUCUCACCAAUAAGUUAUAUCUGAAGCAACAUCUCUUCAUGUUGCGCAUGGCAGAAGGUACCUCUAUUAAGUCGCAUUUAGAUGAAUUUAAUUCUAUCAUUAUGGAUCUCCGCUCGAUAGAUGUCAAAAUCGAGGAGGAAGAUGAAGCCCUUUUAUUAUUAUGUUCUCUACCGCCCUCUUAUAAGAAUUUUCGUGAGACUUUCUUGUUUGGACGAGAUACUCUAUGUCUCGAUGAUGUUAAAUCCUCUUUACUUUCAAAAGAGAGAAUUGACAUGCAGAUAAGCAACGAGACAGGUGGAGCUUCAGGACAAGGUUUGGUCGCUAGAGGGAGGUCUCGGGAGAAGGGUUCCGGUAAUAGAGAUACAUCUAGAUCAAAGUCAAAGCACAGGAAUCUGAUUUGUGGUUAUUGUAAGAAGAAGGGUCACAUAAAAGCUGAUUGUUUCAAGUUGAAAAAUAAAGAGCAGCGGAAGAAUAACGGUGAUAAAAAUCAGGGUCAGAAAAACACCAAUACUGAAGCAGAAGCAAGUGUUGCAGCAGGAGAAUCAGAUAAAAAUGAUAUCGUCUUUACAGUUACGGAUAAGACACGCAGACAGGAUGAGUGGCUUAUGGACUCCGCAUGUUCUUUUCAUAUCUGUACGCAUAGAGAAUGGUUCUCGACGUACAUGCCUAUUGAAGGUGGAGAUGUAUUGAUGGAAAAUCACUCUAAGUGCACAGUUAUUGGAAUUGGUACUAUUCAGGUACGAAUGUUCGAUGGAGUAGUGAGGACUAUAUCUGAGGUUCGGCAUGUUCCGGAUAUGAGGAAAAAUCUGAUCUCAUUGGGUACACUUGAUACUAAAGGCUUUAAGUAUUCUUCAGCUGAUGGAUUAAUGAAGGUCGCUAAAGGGAAUCUUGUAGUGAUGAAGGCUAAGUUGUCCGACAUGUUAUAUGUUCUACAGGGUUCCACUGUGACAGGUUCAGCAGCGGUGACUUCUUCCUCUAUGUCAGAUUCAGAUAGCACCAAAUUAUGGCAUAUGCGACUGGGCCAUAUGAGUGAAUAUGGCAUGAUGAAGUUGGGCGAGAGAGGUUUACUUGGUAGUCAGAGUUUAGAAAAGUUGGACUUCUGCGAGCAUUGUGUUCUUGGCAAACAAAAGAGAGUCAGCUUUAAGGUAGCAGUUCACCGAAUAAAAGGUACUCUGGAUUACAUCCAUUCUGAUCUUUGGGGACCCUCUCGUACUCCUACUCAUGGUGGUGCUAGAUAUAUGUUGACUUUUAUUGACGACUAUUCUCGUAAAGUGUGGGCGUUCUUUCUGAAAAGUAAGGAUGAGGUGUUCAAUUAUUUCAAGCAGUGGAAGGUCAUGAUUGAGAAGCAAACUGAAAAGAAGAUCAAACGCUUAAGGACCGACAAUGGUUUGGAAUUCUGCUCGUCAGAGUUUGAAGAAUUCUGCAAGAAGGAAGGGAUCGUUCGACAUAAAACCGUUAGGCAUACUCCACAGCAGAAUGGGGUGGCCGAACGGAUGAAUAGAACUCUUUUGGAGAGGGCCCGUUGUAUGCUCUCUAAUGCUGGCUUAGCGAAGAGUUUCUGGGCAGAGGCGAUCUCUACGGCAUGCUAUUUGGUGAAUCGAUCUCCACAUUCAGCACUUGAUUGCAAAACUCCGGAGGAGGUAUGGUCUGGUAGCCCUUCUGAUUAUUCUAAUUUGCGAAUAUUUGGUUGUCCUGCUUAUGUUCAUGUUAAUGAAGGCAAGUUAGAACCUAGGGCUAAAAAGUGCAUUUUUAUUGGUUAUGCAUCGGGGGUUAAGGGAUAUAGAUUGUGGUGUCCUGAAUCGUCUAAAUUAAUUAUUAGUAGGGAUGUCACAUUUGAUGAAUCUGCUAUGUUAUAUCCUAACCGUAAUUCUUCUGAUGAGACCCCGAGUGCUAGCAAGCAGGUGGAGGUAGAGACCGAUGGUAUAGUUCAGUCACAGGAUUCUUCUCAGUCAGAACAAGUUCAGUCGACAGACACCUCAGUAACUGAAACCCCACAAGUUGAGAGGCAGAGCAUUGCUACAGGCAGAGCGAGGAGACAGAUCAAACCACCGCAGAGAUAUGGUUAUGAAGAUAUGGUUGCGUACGCUCUUUCAGUGGCACAAGAUACAGAAGAAGAAGGUGAACCUUCGACAUAUAAUCAAGCUAUUUCCGGUGCCAGUUCUGCAGAGUGGUUGGUGGCGAUGAAUGAGGAGAUGGAGUCUCUCCAUAAGAAUCGCACAUGGGAGUUGGUAAAACCGCCUACAGGCAAGAAAAUUGUCGGCUGUAAGUGGGUCUUCAAGAAAAAGGACGGAAUCCCCGGCGUGGAAGAUACAAGGUAUAAAGCUCGUUUAGUUGCUAAGGGCUACAGUCAGGUAGAAGGUGUGGACUUUAAUGAUAUUUUCUCACCCGUCGUAAAGCAUACUUCUAUUCGUGUUCUUUUAUCGUUAGUAGCCAUGAAUGACCUGUAUCUUGAGCAGCUUGAUGUUAAGACAGCUUUUCUGCAUGGAGAACUUGAGGAGCAAAUUUAUAUGAAACAGCCGGAGGGAUUCAUUGUUGAAGGGAAGGAGGACCAUGUUUGCCUGUUAAAGAAAUCGCUUUAUGGCUUAAAGCAGUCUCCUCGACAAUGGUAUAAGCGGUUCGACUCCUUUAUGACAGGUCACGGAUAUUCCAGAAGCAAACGUGACAGUUGCGUAUAUUUCAGAAAGCUUGAUAAGGGAUCUUUCAUAUAUUUGUUGCUCUAUGUCGAUGAUAUGUUAAUUGCUUCCAGCGACAUAGUUGAGAUAAAUAAAUUGAAGACUUUACUUAAGGGUGAGUUUGAGAUGAAAGAUCUAGGUGCUGCUAAGAAAAUCCUUGGUAUGGAAAUUAAGAGGGACAACAAGUCAGGACUACUGCAUUUGACACAAGAGAAAUAUAUAGAGAAGAUUUUAAAGCGUUUCGGGAUGACAGACGCAAAACCAGUGAGCACUCCUUUUGCGGCGCAUUUCAGACUUUCCGCCGAGUUAUCACCGCAGUCCGAUGAUGAGCGGGAGUACAUGUCACAUGUUCCCUAUUCUAGUGCUGUCGGGAGCAUCAUGUACGCCAUGGUUUGCACACGGCCGGACAUCUCCUAUGCAGUGAGCAUGGUUAGCAGAUAUAUGACCAAUCCUGGUAAGGCUCAUUGGCAGGCUGUUAAGUGGAUUUUGAGAUACUUACGAGAUACCACUAACACUUGUUUGGAGUUUGGGAGGUGUAAGGAUGGUGUGGUUGGAUAUGUUGAUUCAGAUUUUGCAGGUGAUUUGGACAGGAGGAGAUCACUUUCAGGUUAUGUAUUCUCUAUUGGCGGAUGUGCAGUUAGUUGGAAAGCUUCACUACAACCUAUUGUCGCCUUAUCUACGACGGAGGCGGAAUAUAUUGCUAUGACAGAGGGUGUGAAGGAAGCUAUGUGGCUAAGAGGCUUAUUUGGUGAGCUUACUUCUUGUUGGAAUCCGACGAUUAUUUAUUCGGACAGUCAAAGUGCUAUUCAUUUGUCUAAAGAUCAAAUAUUUCAUGAGAGGACAAAGCACAUCGAUGUAAAGUUUCACUUUGUUCGGGAUGUGAUUGGGAAACACACGUUGACAGUUAAGAAAAUUGGUACUGAGGACAAUCCGGCGGAUAUGCUUACUAAGUCCCUUACUAUUGCCAAGUUCAAACAUUGUUUGGACUUGGUGGCAGUUAGCAGCAUUUGAGGCCCUAUGGGGCGUUUGGAGAAGACGGAGCGCGGAGCGUUAAGGAGCAUUAAAGUGAAUUAAAUUCAAGGUGGAGUUUUAUAGCGAUCUCAACACAGCGGCUAAACUACAAAUUAAACCAAGGUGGAGAUUGUUAUUUUUGGUUUAGAUUUGUUGUUAUCUAAUUCUGAGGAUAAAUCCUAAUCUAAUUGGGAUUAGAUAUUAUUUAGAUUUAAUUUGGCAUAUAUGGAUUAUAAUUAGGAGUGUAAUUCUAAUUGAAUUAGAAUUAGACUCUAAUUAGGAGACAUAUAUUAUAUAUACAUGCUACGGCCAAGUUAAUGAGGUAGCGACCCAAUUAAGAGCCAUGCAAAAUUAAUUAAAUCUGGUGGUCCAUCCGAACGGCCAGCAACAACGUGUGAAGGGAGAUAAAACUCUAUUCUAAUUAGAGGGAAGCUCUAAUGAAGCCGGCAUGCAAUCCUCUAAUUAAUUAGCCAUCAUUGUUUUUCCUUCUUGGGUGCUGUCGGUGUUUGGUGCCAAAUUAAUUAAGUCAACCUGCCGAGCAGAAGAAUCUUAUUGUACCGACGUGGUAAUUUGGAUAUGCAAUAUGCAUAUGCGCGUCAAUUUAUUUAUUUGGAUUAUGGGAUUCUUUUGAGAGAUCUUCUUUGUACUCCGCCUUUUCGACAUUAAUAAAUUAUUUGCUCCGUCUUCGCCCGUGGACGUAGGCCGUUGGCCGAACCACGUAAAUAUCGGUGUGUUCUUUCCUUAUCUUUUCUUUUCUUGCAUUAAAUUAUUUUCUGGAUCUAUUUUUCGCCGUUCCGAUUUUAAAGCAAACCAAACUUCAUAAAAUAAUUGCGCACCUUACAACAGAGCCAAAUAAAUA
This 5083-nucleotide long non-coding RNA is filed under the name Ananas comosus (pineapple). RNAcentral describes it as "long non-coding RNA (ACOM_LNC006539)". The record is from RNAcentral. Lineage: Eukaryota; Viridiplantae; Streptophyta; Magnoliopsida; Poales; Bromeliaceae.